This 333-nucleotide long non-coding RNA is filed under the name Sorghum bicolor (sorghum). Its description in RNAcentral is "long non-coding RNA (SBIC_LNC009385)". Lineage: Eukaryota; Viridiplantae; Streptophyta; Magnoliopsida; Poales; Poaceae. The record is from RNAcentral.
GGCGUGUGCCUUAUGGAGGUUUUGGGUCCACGACGAAACGGGCAGGGAUCCGAACCGAUCCAAGAUCUAACGGUCCACAUCACAAGUUGACUCGAUCCAGCGGCUAACAGGUUAACGGAUGACGUGGCCAUAAGCCUGUUUUUGGUGCAGGAUUCGUUUAUAUAGAUAGAUAGAUAGAUUGGUUUGAGGCACUUUUUAGAUAUGAAUCCCCUAGCCCUCAAAACUAGAUGAGAUGUUCCAUCAAGUAGAGGUCUUAAUUUGAAAGCUAUUGCUAAAGUUGCUCGAAUAGAAACAAGCAAAUAUACAUACUUUCUCUAUCUUGUUAUGUAGUGU